UUCUUCCACUUUUUUAUGGUGAUUAUUCAUGUCGCUGCGGAUGUGGCAUUAAUUUUGUCUAAGCCGCGGUAAACUCGUCUGACGUCGCUCUCAGUGUCUUUUUGACUUUUCGCCAGCGCUGCUAUGCUUCCAGAAAGGCUUUCAUGGAAUUUGUUUUCCGCUUGCAUUAAUGCCUUCACGGAAUCCUAGAAAUAUACAAAAGUGAGGGAUUAUUUCUGUGCCUCUUUGGGGUCGGAGACAGAUUGGUUUCCUCCUCACGGGCUCUUGCGGAUGUGGUAGGCAAAUCAUCAUCGCUUAAAUCGGGCGCGGAUACUGCCUCCUCCCCAGUUCCAAAAGAAGCGGACAUUGAUAUGCCUUCUACAACAGCGUACAGUCCGGAAAUUAUUGCUACCGUUCCUCCGCCUCCGACAAUGUGUACUUUUUAAAUGGGCCGCCUCCGGUAGCCACGGCCUCUCUUCUGUUGUGUGCCAAUUUCUUCCUCACUUCACUUUUCCAGUCAGUCCAGCUGAUCGGAACAUUUCCGAUAAAAAAUUUCCGAUAACCGGAAUGCAGAACAUCAAAUUUCCGAUAGAAUUCCGACUCGAAGUGGAUCGAAAUGUAGAACAAGGCGGAAUCGGAAAUAAUUUCGGAUUGUCGGAAUGCAGAACACCAAAAACACCGGAAACAAAUCCGAUUCCGAUUCGAAUCGGAUUGCAGAACAGGGCUGAAAAUGUGCAGCAUAGCCUCCCAUUUGGUAGCAGAAGAGAUGGACGAAGAUGUAGAGCAGAAUCGGACACAAAGGAUGGAAAGGAGGCAGUUACGCGAUGCAACAAACCCGCUUGAGUUGCCCCAAGCUUUAAGGCUAUCAGACGGGAAUCGGAAAAGAAUACGACGUUUCUCUUGCUCAAUGCAGCCUCAGCAAAGUGGUUGGCGAAAACGGCGGAAGAAAAACGCAAAAUUUCAUUGGCACUUUACCGUAAGCGUGGCAUUCCAAGUGUUAUGGGAUGCAUAGAUGGGACACAUGUCCGCAUUAAAGCUCCCUCCCAGAAUAAACAGUUAUAGCAGAAAGGAAAACUACAGCUUAAAUGUCAUGCUGGUGUGUGAUCAUGAUCUACGUAUUCAAUAUGUAGAUGCGUCCCACCCCGGUGCUUGUCACGAUUCCUUCGUUUGGAACACCAGCGAGCUACGAACUCACCUUGAACGAGAAUAUCUAAAAGGAAGGAUCUGUUGAAAUGAAAUUCAACGAAGUUCACUCAAAAUGCAGAAAUUUUAUAGAACGUACCAAUGGGGUGCUAAAAAAUCGAUGGAGAUGCCUUCUUGGAGCAAGAGAAUCAUUAAUGUGUGUUGUGCAUUACAUAAUAUAUGCCUUUUUUCAAAGUGAAUAGACCAGUCACACAGUUCAACUGCCCAAGAAAAGCGUAUUCACUAUAUUAAAAGUUCAGAAUUUUUCGAAGCUCGGCAAACGUGAUGGAAAUGUUCACCUCUAUAGCUUUCUUAAGUCAAAAUUUAAGCUGCACGCUCUUACCAAAGCUACUGAAAGAGAUAUGAAGAAACAAUGCUAUAUAACUCGCCGAAAAUUGCUAUUUUUUUUUAAGAUUUUUCUUAUUUACAUGUGUAUAAAUAACUUUAAAAUAUACUACUAACUAAACUAUACUCUUGUGGGAGAUGAGUAACGAGCAAUCCUGCAUUUUAUAUCCUGCUAUUUCAAAGUCUUUGGAAGAACUUCGAAUUUGGACACUUAUGUUAUGUACUUAGCUUCGCCGAGUCAUAUUUUUCAUAAAUAAUAUACUAUAGCUGCCGCCAGAUCAUGUUGCUAUAAGGCCAGAUUUGUUGCUAUAAAUCAAGGGGUAUCAGUCAUUAUGGAUACGAUGACAACUGAUCGAUUUCCAACAAAAUGGCUAUAAAACAAAUGAAAAAAAAGUUCUUAUAAAUACAUUUUUUACGCAGUAGGCGUAAACAAGGGUGUACCACACUAUGUUUCUCCCAUUUGCGCGAGUUCGAAGCUUCCAUAUUCGUUUGCAUAAAUAAAUUGUUCCCAUGGUUAUGGAAAAUACAGCAUUCUGAAUUUCAGCAACCAAAAGUUUUGCAAAAUUCGCAAUAAAUCGCACACAGGAAUCAACCUGAAAAAAACGAUAGCAUAUCGAAAAUCAGCAUCUUAAAUAUACCCCAAAACGAUCCGUAAAUAAUUUUGACCACCUAGCUUGUUCUACACGACACACUGUGCGUCGACUCUUUUUGGUAUUCGAGACAUGUGAAUAACUCAUAGGCGAUCAUCCUUCUACAAAAAAAUAGUUGAAGAAGGAUGAGCGACAGUCGCUUAUUGAAUGAGACGACGACGUUGACAAUACCAUGGAAAAGCGAUAAUCGAAUAAUAGUCGUUUAUCUACUGCCAGUCGACACUCGCAAUAAGGGUUAUUUACUCGGUACUUGUCAAAAACUUUGUUAGUGAAGUUAUGUCUCAUAUUCGUGGAAAUUAAGUCUGAAAUAACAUCCACGAGCCCAUGCAAGUUAUGUCAGUUAACCGCAUUGGCCUCUCGACGAUCACGUGCGAGUUUUCCGAUCCCCAAUUGCGGCAGUUUAAAUUAUUGUGAAAUAAGUUUGCAUUAUUUCCGUUGUUUAACGUUGUUCAAACGAAAGAGCUGUCACCGUCAAAAUAACAUGAUUAAAAAUAAUUAUAUGUAUAAAGCAAAAUUAAAUAAAUAUUUAUUUAUAUUAUUUAGUAAGUUUAUUUAAUGGAUUUCUUUGAUUUAAUUAACCUUAAAAUGUGAGAAGCGUAUUCAUGAUUCACUUAAGUGCUAUAUUUUAAUAUUUGUAAACGUAUUGUAAAUUAAUUUAUAAAACAGCUCUAAAUAAAUCAAUUAUAUAUUAUGUACUUUAGUUUCUAAAUUUGCGUAUGUUUCAAAGAAAACUUAGUAAAACAUCAAGUCCAUUAGUUUAACAAAACUGGUUUCAACAAUGAUCUGACUAUAAUAAUAAAUGCUUAAAGUACACUCAAUCAAGUAAUCCGCAAAGUUUUUUAAUCAGACGGGUUCUGCAAUUCACUUCCGAAUGAAUUUCAACCGUUGCCAAUUUGAAUUCAAAGCGCAUUUUGUUGAAAUUUACUCGGAAGUGAAUUGCGGAACCUGCCUGAAUAAGAUUUUUCGCGCUUAGAUUAAAAAGAUCUUUAAUCUAUAUAUUUACAACUUUUAUAGCAAACUAGUUCAUUUUUCUUUGUAUUUAUUUCCUUUCUAUAUACAUAUAUGUAUUCACAGACUUCAUGCAAAGAUUUUAAUGGAAAUAUGUUGGUUGUAUUUCCUAUAAAUUCUUAAAAGAUGGCUACAUGUUCGCAAAGCGAUCAACAGAUUUUUCCGGGGCAAUGAAUAUCAUUGUAUAGGCUUACAAGUAUGGAAAGCGCCAUUUUGUUUGUUUACAUUUGAAAACAGCUGAGAUCACCUGAUUUUCAA
Molecule: long non-coding RNA, 3422 nt
Organism: Rhagoletis zephyria (snowberry fruit fly)
Lineage: Eukaryota; Metazoa; Arthropoda; Insecta; Diptera; Tephritidae
Source: RefSeq, a predicted model, not a curated record